This 465-nucleotide ribosomal RNA is filed under the name uncultured bacterium. Its description in RNAcentral is "bacterial SSU rRNA". It matches the Rfam family "Bacterial small subunit ribosomal RNA", at positions 28 to 507 of the family's 1533-position model. The record is from RNAcentral.
GAUGAACGCUGGCGGCGUGCCUAACACAUGCAAGUCGAACGGAGUUACGAGAGCUUGCUUUGUAACUUAGUGGCGGACUGGUGAGUAACGCGUGAGGAACCUGCCUUUCAGAGGGGGACAACAGUUGGAAACGACUGCUAAUACCGCAUGACACAUCGAUGGGGCAUCCCGUUGAUGUCAAAGAUUUAUCGCUGAAAGAUGGCCUCGCGUCUGAUUAGAUAGUUGGCGGGGUAACGGCCCACCAAGUCGACGAUCAGUAGCCGGACUGAGAGGUUGACCGGCCACAUUGGGACUGAGAUACGGCCCAGACUCCUACGGGAGGCAGCAGUGGGGAAUAUUGGGCAAUGGACGCAAGUCUGACCCAGCAACGCCGCGUGAAGGAAGAAGGCUUUCGGGUUGUAAACUUCUUUUGUCAGGGAAGAGCAGAAGACGGUACCUGACGAAUAAGCCACGGCUAACUACGUG